GCCAGCAGCCGUAUCACUCUGAAACUCCCAACUGGCAGCCCACUGAAGAUAAGCAGGUGUGAGCCUGAUUAGUACGUGGAUGAAAGACCUCCUGGGAAAAACUAAGGUUGCUGCUGGAA
Ribosomal RNA from Lepisosteus oculatus (spotted gar), 119 nucleotides. NCBI's taxonomy places the organism in Eukaryota, Metazoa, Chordata, Actinopteri, Semionotiformes, Lepisosteidae. The record is from Rfam.